UGGGGGAUAUUGCACAAUGGGCGAAAGCCUGAUGCAGCGACGCCGCGUGGGGGAUGAAGGCCUUCGGGUUGUAAACUUCUUUUGCUCUGAACAAGGCAUGCCUUUGGGGUGUGUUGAGUGUAGGGGUUGAUUAGCGCCGGCUAACUACGUGCCAGCAGCCGCGGUAAUACGUAGGGCGCGAGCGUUGUCCGGAAUUAUUGGGCGUAAAGGGCUUGUAGGUGGCUGGUUGCGUCUGUCGUGAAAGCUCAUGGCUUAACUGUGGGUUUGCGGUGGGUACGGGCUGGCUUGAGUGCAGUAGGGGAGGCUGGAAUUCCUGGUGUAGCGGUGGAAUGCGUAGAUAUCAGGAGGAAUACCGGUGGCGAAGGCGGGUCUCUGGGCUGUUACUGACGCUGAGGAGCGAAAGCGUGGGGAGCGAACAGG
This 420-nucleotide ribosomal RNA is filed under the name Fusobacteriota bacterium. Its description in RNAcentral is "Fusobacteria bacterium partial 16S ribosomal RNA". It matches the Rfam family "Bacterial small subunit ribosomal RNA", at positions 355 to 776 of the family's 1533-position model. Lineage: Bacteria; Fusobacteriati; Fusobacteriota. The record is from RNAcentral.